ACGCUCGACACCUACGGGAGGCAGCAGUGGGGAAUAUUGCACAAUGGGCGAAAGCCUGAUGCAGCAACGCCGCGUGAGCGAAGAAGGCCUUCGGGUCGUAAAGCUCUGUCCUCAAGGAAGAUAAUGACGGUACUUGAGGAGGAAGCCCCGGCUAACUACGUGCCAACAGCCGCGGUAAUCUGAGCGGGCUGGCAAGC
RNAcentral lists this ribosomal RNA (197 nucleotides) under uncultured bacterium. RNAcentral's name for it is "partial 16S ribosomal RNA". It matches the Rfam family "Bacterial small subunit ribosomal RNA", at positions 328 to 539 of the family's 1533-position model. The record is from RNAcentral.